AAUUGAGGAGAUGUCCAUGUCGUAAUCCACAACUAUAUUCAAAUUAUUCAUUUGUAAAUUAGUACUCCUCCGAUCUAGAUUAUAUGAUAUUGUUAGCUUGAGCAUAUCUCUUAAAAAUUCAAUCACUCCUAGAAAGUAAAAGGCGUUUUCACAAAAUUACGCUUAAUUUUUUUUUUUUUGAGAAACCACUAAGUAAUACUUAGUAGAGGGAUAUUUUAUUAAUAUUAAUAAUCUAAACAAAAAGCAAAAAGCAAAAAGGAAACAAACAAUAGCAGGUACACGGUCUAAAAUCAGACCAAGCCCCAAUUUUCACUCUAACCCUAGACCCAAUUAGGAAACAACUCAUUCAGGUAGCGUUGACAUUGCCGGAGCUAGUCCACCGCAAAUUAACCUCCGAUCAAAGCUCUGGAUUUACGAUAUGGAUAUACGUAUUAUCGCACCUCAAACUCUCACCAGUGCAGUAUAUCCAUAGCCAAGGAGUCAAACUCAGAUAAUCCAGGUCUUUCCUCUUCCAGCCAAUUGCUUCUCAGCUGCAGAUUGCUGCUCCUCAGAAGUUCCAUGACUCAUCUAGUUUUUCUCCUUUGAUAGUGCAUCCCCCUGGGACAUAACUGCAUUCAUUUGCUCCUGCUCAUCUGUUGUAGACUUCUUCUCCUAGGAACUAGAAGAAGCAUCCACAAAUGCAUUUAAAUCUAUCAUCCUGUGGUUUGGAGUAGUAUCACUACUUUUGCUCUGUAUACUUGCUUCUACCAUUUGUUGAUCUGAUGUUUUGCUGUAAGUGCUAACUAUCACGGGCCGCCUCCUUCAUAGUGUCAUUGGUACACUAAUGGCCCGUGCGGCGCCCGUAGUCCGGGCGGACUACGAGCCAGCCUAAUGAUAGUCCCAGAAUCCAUGGCACGACCUUAUGUCCAUGGCUUUGGAGGCUUAGCUUCACCGGUGCUUCUGGUUCGAUGUCAAGGCCUUGGCCUUGCCUUGCUCGUAUGCCCCUAUGGUAUGUUUCAUAUGUUGGGUCCUUGCCUGUACGCACACUUGGGGUCGGCUACGGACAUGACAGUCCCUCGCCUGGUGCUGAGCGACGUUGGUGCGCGCACAGUCCAAUCCUCAGGCUUGACACCGGUCUGGUGCCUGUGCACCUGAGCGGUGCGACACCUGAGUAGGGCAACUCUUGAAUCCUUGGCCUGUGUCAUGUGUGUCCUUUGUAGUAUGCCUAUGAUGAGGCUUUGCUAAAUGUGGACCUCGCGACAUGCUUCCGUCUUGCAUGGUGCAGCGUCGCCCUACGACUGCACCUCUAGGCCAACGGACCCUUGCUCGCUAGGCUGAACCUGAGCCAAGCUCACAAGUCAACACACGAGGUUCUUAUGAGAGGUGCCUCGAGUGUCCAAUCGACACGGAGGGCUUUAUAAUUCUCAAGGAUAGCCCGCAGGGCAUGGUCGGUCCAUACGUCAAGCCUCCGGCCCUCGUUGGGCGCCCAACGCUGGCCUGUGGCCGAGCACCGCCCAUAGAGUUGUGUAACUCGUAUGGGUACCUAGGAUCCAUUGGGGAUGCCUAGGCAGGCCCUUGAGGUUGUCCCCCAAGGUUGCUCACUUAGUACGGCUUGAUGGUGGCACGCACGGGGGAGGCUGGCUGAGCUGAGACACCUCUGCCCCCCUUAUAUAUGCUUUAAAAAAUAAAAGCCCAAGUUUUAGCACUAGACAUGAUUCUGCCCGAGAAUCAUACUUGGCCUUUCUCAAUGAUCCGAACUCCAAAUGAGGCUCCGUCUGUUCCUGAAUGUUUCUCUUGACUUCCUUUACUCCUCCAUGAAGUUUCAUCUCAUCCUCAUGCUCGUGGAACGAGAUAUGGCCUUAGGGAGAUUUGACACUGACACUGCUCCUUGGCUAAGUCAAGCCCUUAGGUAAAUGAUGUUCAAAUGACGCCAAACUUGGUAAGCACAUUCAAUAACAUCCUAGGAAGGGUGUGUUCACCCGAAAUCCCAAGAUUCCAUCCAUAGCUCGGAAACGCUCGGGACUGACACUCAGGCUCGCAUGGGGUCGCUCGUGCGUUGACGACCUGCGGGCUCAUCCCGGAUGCUUGUGGAACUUCCUUGCUACUCUUAGGAUAUGCAAUGGAGCAUAUCUAUGAUGAUUGUGGGCUCCCGUCCGUCGGCACCCAUGUUGGUGCACGUCGCCCGCGCGGCCGACACUGCCUGUGGGCUGACACUGCCUGUGCGGCUGGCAUUGCCUGUGGCUGGCACUGCCUGUGCGGCUGGCACUGCCUGUGGGCUGGCACUCGUUUGGCCCGCUCGGGGCGCGCAAGGUUGCGGGCGCCAAGGCACAAUGAAGGCAACUCGUAACAUUCUCCCCCACUCAAGCUAGGCAUCGUCCCCGAUGCCUCAUAACGCCAACGACAACCCGGAGUUUGACCCCUCGGGGUUUUACAUCGCGGCCCCAAAUCCUGCAGGUUCGCAACCCUUUUGUGUUUUUCUUAAAAAUGGAGUCGUGCCCGUGCACUGCUCCCCAAGUUUCUCCCAAGCGUGCCUCUGCACUUCACCUCCCGGUGUUCACUUGGAAAGCGCCUCCGUGCUUGCACCCUCUGGUGGCUAACUUUGUGGUGACCUCGUUGUCAACCACGCCAUGAUCCUCACGGCAACUGAUGCAUCCUCUGGUGGGCUAACUUUGAGUGGUGGCACUCUUGCUAGCCACAUGAUGAUUGUAGCAAAAUGGCAAAUCCAUUUUGGAAGUCUGCUUUCAACUGAUAGUUUACGUAUGAGACCUUCUCCCGACUAAGGCACUUAGUUUACAUCCAGUGGAUGUACUGCUCCCUUUGUAUCUUUAGCCCGAUUUAGGAUUGGCACACCUUGAUGUGGCACAUGCAACCCCCCACUAUGUUUGGUGCGGUCUCUUUGUUUUGCUUGUGGAGGAUUUUCCUCCAAUUGGAAAUGCAUGGACCCAAUGUUGUUACAAUGGAUGAAUACUCCCCCACAUGGAUGGCGGCAGUACUGAAAUGAUAGUGCCGAUGUUCCAAGAUAUCCUCAUCUCUUGGCGAAACAUUAGCGAUGGAGCCCUUGGCGAGCAAUGGCGCUCUUAGGAGAGCGAUGCAGCUUUCGGCGGCUGGUGACUGAGCCCUUGGCGGGCGAUGACGCUCUAGGAGAGCAAUGGCCGAGCCCUUAGCGAGCACUGGCGCGCUAGGCGGGUAAUAGCUGAUCCCGUGGCGGAUGAUGCAGCUCUCGGCGGAUGAUGGCUGAGCCUUUUGGUGAGCAAUGGCGCUCUAGGCUAGCGAUGGGCGAGCCCUUGGCGGGCAAUAGCCGAUGAUGGCGGCCUGAUGGCCGAUGAUGAUGGCGGCCUGAUAGCCAAUGAUGAGGGUGCAUGUCUACUGACCCUAUGUCUGCCGAUGACUUGAUGACCAUAUGACUGGCGAUGAUCUGAUGAUAUGAUGACUCAUAUGUGAAUCCCUUGGUAUGGCACCAAUAUCGUGAUGAUAGCCUGAUGGCUAUUGUGGGCAUCCCUUGGUGUGGCGCUCUCGCCAACCAUGCUAUUAGGGACCCUCUUCUCUUGUGGGCAACUCACCUCGUUGGGUGUAUAGCAAGGUCAAGUACUGAUAUCUUAACUCGGAGUGACUUGCAAUUUGAGCUAAUGUCCUGAUGGACAAAUUGUGACCGACAUAACGGCUUGCUUAUUCCAUGGCAUUGGUGGUUGCUUGACGCUUAACUUUAACCUAAGUUGCAUAUAAUAUGGCCUCUAGAAAGACCAUGCUGCACCGUGGCAUCUUCGGCAAUUCAUAUGUUUGGUACCAUGUGGUACUGAGAAGAGCUCUUGGAAUGUACUCCUGGUGAGUACUCGAUUUUUCUCUGCUCGGGAGGAGAUAGCUUCAUACAUGCAUGACCAUAGGUCUUUGUUCUCAAAUUGGUCCUCAUAUGCUUGAUGCCCGAUUCUCCAGUGUGGUACUUGUGUUCCCGUCCUGGUUGUUCGGUAUCCCUUGGUUAUCCUUUGGAUAGAUCACAUUCUCAAACUUUAAGCUUAGCUAUUCCCCACUCUUAUGUUGCUCAAUGAUCUUUGCCUCCUCACCUUGGUGAUUCAGCAUGAUGAAAUGCCUAACCCACACAUCGUGGAUUGGUGCCUGUCCGCAAUGUCUCCUGCUAUGCAAUCAACCUAGUUUUGGUGUUGUUCCAGUUUAACAAACGCAAUGUGCGACAUGUGCCUCCCCACGCUCAGUGGUUUGGCUCUUUGAUGACAUUGCCUCCCUACGUGGUAGUUCAGCUUUUUCCUGAUCCUGCCUCCCCAUUUAGCUGGUUUGGCAUUCCAUUACAAACGUGGUGGAUGGUUCCACCUUGCUGAUUAUGACAUGUGAACUCCCCGCAAAGAAGCCUGCUUGCAGGUUCUUCCUUACGUUGUCGCGGCUCGGCGCGCCCCGCUCUAGCUCGGUAUCACCCAAUGUCUAGAGCUCAAAAUUGGAGGUCGCUCUCCCUCCAUGAUGAUAGGUAUGAUGCUAGGUUAUUGGCGAUAGCUCGCCUCCCGUAACACGCAACCCUGACGAUCACAAGCUGGGGGUUUGCCCCUUGCUUUAGGCGUAUAAGCCCAUUGAUGUUGAUGGACUUGCCUUCCAUUGCUUGUGACCUUUAUGACGGCUAGGCGUCUGAUAUUUGUAGUUCCCGCAAUUGUGUACCCUCAGGAAAUGCUUAUGGUCCACCCUUCAUCGAGGACGCUAAAAAAGAUGCAGCUGUUAUGUACAUGGACAAGAGACCUUGACUGGGCAAGUUUUUGAUGCACUCAUCGGCUCCCCCUGAUGUCUUAGCGAGUCCACGAUUCGCUGAAUAAAGCUGUAACCGACUACCAACAGAGUUUAUAUAACAAUGACGGAUGUGGACGUAUCCCCAGUAGCAUACCCCAAUGGUGCUACCUGCUGACCAGGUGCGUCUCAAUGGAAUCCCUCUGAAAUUAGUGCUCAUUUUGUGAAAGCCAUCCUUGAAGGGACGUCGAUGAAAUUUGGAUGCUUCAACAUGAAAUCACCUUAUGCAACCGAAGGCGGAAACAACGGUUGUGGCAUGACCUGAUUCUGAAAAAAAAAUGUGGUUUAUGGUUGAUGAAGAAAAUUUUAACGGAAACUGAAUGCAACCAAUCUCCUUUUGUCAGUGGCAUCUGGUUCGCUGACUUGAUUGGCAUUAAGAACAUCAUUUCCUGCCUUGAUAGGAACUCUGCACUGACAUUCAAUAAUGCGCUGAUGAUAUAAUCUCUGUGCUCUGAUACCAACUGUCACGGGCCGCCUCCUUCAUAGUGUCAUUGGUACACUAAUGGCCCGUGCGGCGCCCGAAGUCCGGGCGGACUACGAGCCAGCCUAAUGAUAGUCCCAGAAUCCAUGGCACGACCUUAUGUCCAUGGCUUUGGAGGCUUAGCUUCACCGGUGCUUCUGGUUCGAUGUCAAGGCCUUGGCCUUGCCUUGCUCGUAUGCCACUGUGGUAUGUUUCAUAUGUUGGGUCCUUGCCUGUACGCACACUUGGGGUCGGCUACGGAUAUGACAGUCCCUCGCCUGUUGCUGAGCGAUGCUUGUGCGCGCACAGUCCAAUCCUCAGGCUUGACACCGGUCUGGUGCCUGUGCACCUGAGCGGUGCGACACCUGAGUAGGGCAACUCUUGAAUCCUUGGCCUGUGUCAUGUGUGUCCUUUGUAGUAUGCCUAUGAUGAGGCUUUGCUAAAUGUGGCCCUCGCGACAUGCUUCCGUCUUGCAUGGUGCAACGUCGCCCUACGACUGCACCUCUAGGCCAACAGACCCUUGCUCGCUAGGCUGAACCUGAGCCAAGCUCACAAGUCAACACACGAGGUUCUCAGGAGAUGUGCCUCGAGUGUCCAAUCGGCACGAAGGGCUUUCUCAUUCUCAAGGAUAGCCCGCAGGGCAUGGUCGGUCCAUGCGUCAAGCCUCCGGCCCUCGUUGGGCGCCCAACGCUGGCCUGUGGUCGAGCGCCGCCCAUAGAGUUGUGUAACUCGUAUGGGUACCUAGGAUCCAUUGGGGAUGCCUAGGCAGGCCCUUGAGGUUGUCCCCCAAGGUUUCUCACUUAGUACGGCUUGAUGGUGGCACGCACGGGGGAGGCUGGCUGAGCUGAGACACCUCUGCCCCCCUUAUAUAUGCUUUAAAAAUAAUAGCCCAAGUUUUAGCACUGGACAUGAUUCUGCCCGAGAAUCAUACUUGGCCUUUCUCAAUGAUCCGAACUCCAAAUGAGGCGCCGUCUGUUCCUGACUGUUUCUCUUGACUUCCUUCACUCCUCCAUGAAGUUUCAUCUCAUCCCCAUGCUCGUGGAACGAGAUAUGGCCUUAGGGAGCUUUGACACUAACACUGCUCCUUGGCUAAGUCAAGCCCUUAGGUAAAUGAUGUUCAAAUGACGCCAAACUUGGUAAGCACAUUCAAUAACAUCCUAGGAAGGGUGUGUUCACCCGAAAUCCCAAGAUUCCAUCCAUAGCUCGGAAACGCUCGGGACUGACACUCAGGCUCGCAUGGGGUCGCUCGUGCGUUGACGACCUGUGGGCUCAUCCCGGAUGCUUGUGGAACUUCCUUGCUACUCUUAGGAUAUGCAAUGGAGCAUAUCUAUGAUGAUUGUGGGCUCCCGUCCGUCGGCACCCAUGUUGGUGCACGUCGCCCGCGCGACCGACACUGCCUGUGUGGCUGGCACUGCCUGUGGGCUGGCACUGCCUGUGCGACUGACACUCGUUUGGCCCGUUCGGGGCGCGCAAGGUUGCCAGCGCCAAGGCACAAUGAAGGCAGCCCGUAACAUAACAUGUGCUGCCUCCUUAACUGAAUGAGAAGUUUCCUGAGACUCUGUUGACUCAACAACUUUAUUAUUAGUAUCCUCUGUCAUCCCAUCAGGUGAUUUCCUUUCAAUCUUCUUUUCGUCUGAGUUGACCUCCUCUAUUUCUUCUUUCUGCUUCUCUGCUACCAGUUCAUUUUUUGAAUUAGUACAUGAUGCACGUGAUGCCAUUUCCUGACUUUCUUUAUCUUUUAUCCCCUAUGGUGUACUUUCUCCAUCUUGUGUGUUUUUAGGAUGUGAUACCCCUUUUGGAUUUGCACUAGUAGAAUUCACUUCUUGAGAAACUUCUACUUGAUUUGCUGAAUUUGUGCCUUCUACUUCCUCCAUCCUAUCACCCUAUUUAGUAGUUUCUUUACCUUUCUCCUGAACUGUCUCCAUAGUAUACGUCCCAGUUAUUUCAUUAAUUGUGUCUCCAACUCUUUCUUGGUUAAGGACUUUCCCAAAGUUAUUUUCAAUCCAGUGUUUAGAACUCAUAUUCUCUUGAUCUUUUCCUUUGUUGUUGGUUUCUGCAUCCCCCUCAUCAUUUGCUGCACUCUUUUCAUUGCCAUUAAUGUUGUUUUUGGCUUCCUCCUUUGAAUUGUUGUCCCUUGCCUCUUCCUCCUUACUAUCACUUUCCUCAACAUUGGUCAAGACAUCAAAUUUAUUAUGAGUUUGAAUUUGAUGUUUCUUAGCAGCUUUAUCUUCAGUUGCAUCAGAUUCUUUCGUUUUAUUUCCUUCAUCAGCUUUGGUAUCUUGACUCUCAGCAUUGGUAUUCUGUUUGGCAUUCUACUUAAGACUUCCAACCACUUUCCCACUGGAUAGUACUUUAACAGGAUAUCUCCUGUUUGUGUGGAACUGAUUGUUCUUCUUUGCUUUAGCUAUAGCCCUUGUUACUUCCUCCUCCUUGUUCCUUUCUGUUGUUGAUAUAGGAAUAGGUUCUUCUUUGUUGUCCUAUUCCUUUUGCUUUGUGUUGUCCUCCUCCUUCUGCCUUUGUUCCGGAUUAAGAAUUCUACACUCCCUCUCAUUAUGGCCUUGCAAUUUACAUUCAAAACAGUACUUAAGUACAUGAUCAUACUUAAUGGGAACUAUCACAGUCCUCUCCUCCUUUGUGACUUCAUUUAGAAUAUCAAUUCUAACUGAUUUAGGAAGUUCAUCAUUCAAAUCCAUCAAUACCUUUACUCUAGCACAACUAGGCCUUGUCUUAUUUAUCGUAGCCUAUCAAGAUGUAAAGGUUUGCCAAUCGCCGAUGCUAGUGUGAAUAAUGAUUCCUUUACAAAAAAUGUCGGUAAUAGAUUAGGAAAAGAAAUCCAUGCCAUCGCUUUUGUAGUUUCUUCCUCAAUUUUGAAAUUUGUAUCAUAUAUCAGUGGCCUCAUUUGGUAAUAGUAUCCAUCUCUUGAAUUAAUAUUGUACGACCCUUUAGAAGUAAGAUUUAUAAAAUCUUCAAGUAAAGAUA
This is a long non-coding RNA of Lycium barbarum (goji berry), 8197 nucleotides long. RefSeq lists it as uncharacterized. The record is from RefSeq and is a predicted model, not a curated record. The transcript is spliced from 2 exons. Lineage: Eukaryota; Viridiplantae; Streptophyta; Magnoliopsida; Solanales; Solanaceae.